ACGCUCGACACCUACGGAGGCAGCAGUAGGGAAUCUUCCACAAUGGGCGCAAGCCUGAUGGAGCAACACCGCGUGAGUGAAGAAGGGUUUCGGCUCGUAAAGCUCUGUUGUUGGAGAAGAACGUGCGUGAGAGUAACUGUUCACGCAGUGACGGUAUCCAACCAGAAAGUCACGGCUAACUACGCGCCAGCAGCCGCGGUAAUCUGAGCGGGCUGGCAAGGC
Molecule: ribosomal RNA, 222 nt
Filed under: uncultured bacterium
Lineage: Bacteria
Description: partial 16S ribosomal RNA
Rfam family: Bacterial small subunit ribosomal RNA
Source: RNAcentral